AGUGUGUUGGCAGAAUAGUGCAAUUGACUUAGGAUCAAUGUAUGGUAUACACCACACACUA
This 61-nucleotide transfer RNA is filed under the name Amynthas tappensis. Its description in RNAcentral is "tRNA-Leu1". Lineage: Eukaryota; Metazoa; Annelida; Clitellata; Crassiclitellata; Megascolecidae. The record is from RNAcentral.